GCAGCCACCUUUUAAAACGCGUCAAAGCGUAACCUUAACCCCCAAAAUACCACUAAUUUUCAUGAACCCCUAAUUUAUAAUGAAUGACUCCAUAUUUAUAUGGAAGACACCAUGCUAGGAUUAGUAACAAGAAUUUAUAAUUCUCCAAAAUGCAAAUAUAAACCAACAUGGAUGGACCAUUGGUAGUUACCGAACCUAAAUUCAAUGCAAUAACACCUACAAGAAAACUCUGCAGUACUCACUCGUUAACCUAACACCAGCGCAUUACAGGAAAGAUUAAAAAAAAGAGAAGGAAUUCGGCAAAUGACGGCCCCGCCUGUUUACCAAAAACAUCGCCUCUUGACUUAUAAUAAGAGGUCUAGCCUGCCCAGUGAAUUUUAAACGGCCGCGGUAUCCUAACCGCGCGAAGGUAGCAUAAUCACUUGUUCUUUAAAUGGGGACUCGUAUCAACGGCAUCACGAGGGUUUUACUGUCUCCUCUUUUUGAUCAGUGAAAUUGAUCUUCCCGUGAAGAAGCGGGAAUAAAUUUAUAAGACGAGAAGACCCCAUGGAGCUUUAAACCAAAUAACAACUUAACCACUCACCCCAUAAUAAAUUUAAGCCCUGUUAUAAGGUUUUUGGUUGGGGUGACCGCGGAGUAAAGCAUAUCCUCCACGACGAAAAGAACAGAAUCUUUAUUUAAGAACCACACUUCUAGAAAUUAGUAUACUAACGUUUACUGACCCGACAAUCGAUCAACGGACCAAGUUACCCUGGGGAUAACAGCGCAAUCUACUUCAAGAGCUCAUAUCGACAAGUAGGCUUACGACCUCGAUGUUGGAUCAGGGUAUCCCGGUGGUGCAGCCGCUACCGAAGGUUCGUUUGUUCAACGAUUAAAACCCUACGUGAUCU
RNAcentral lists this ribosomal RNA (890 nucleotides) under Polypedates leucomystax (Java whipping frog). Its description in RNAcentral is "partial 16S ribosomal RNA". It matches the Rfam family "Bacterial large subunit ribosomal RNA", at positions 1112 to 2606 of the family's 2925-position model. Lineage: Eukaryota; Metazoa; Chordata; Amphibia; Anura; Rhacophoridae. The record is from RNAcentral.